UACGGAGGGAGCUAGCGUUGUUCGGAAUUACUGGGCGUAAAGCGCGCGUAGGCGGCUUUGUAAGUUAGAGGUGAAAGCCCGGAGCUCAACUCCGGAACUGCCUUUAAAACUGCAUCGCUUGAAUCCAGGAGAGGUGAGUGGAAUUCCCGAGUGUAGAGGUGAAAUUCGUAGAUAUUCGGAAGAACACCAGUGGCGAAGGCGGCUCACUGGACUGGUAUUGACGCUGAGGUGCGAAAGCGUGGGGAGCAAACAGG
RNAcentral lists this ribosomal RNA (254 nucleotides) under uncultured bacterium. RNAcentral describes it as "partial 16S ribosomal RNA". It matches the Rfam family "Bacterial small subunit ribosomal RNA", at positions 524 to 776 of the family's 1533-position model. The record is from RNAcentral.